AGAGUUUGAUCAUGGCUCAGGAUGAACGCUAGCUACAGGCUUAACACAUGCAAGUCGAGGGGAAACGACAUCGAAAGCUUGCUUUUGAUGGGCGUCGACCGGCGCACGGGUGAGUAACGCGUAUCCAACCUGCCCACCACUUGGGGAUAACCUUGCGAAAGUAAGACUAAUACCCAAUGACGUCUCUAGAAGACAUCUGAAGGAGAUUAAAGAUUUAUCGGUGAUGGAUGGGGAUGCGUCUGAUUAGCUUGUUGGCGGGGUAACGGCCACAAGGCGACGAUCAGUAGGGGUUCUGAGAGGAAGGUCCCCANAUUGGAACUGAGACACGGUCCAAACUCAGUACGGGAGGCA
This 351-nucleotide ribosomal RNA is filed under the name uncultured bacterium. RNAcentral's name for it is "bacterial SSU rRNA". It matches the Rfam family "Bacterial small subunit ribosomal RNA", at positions 8 to 350 of the family's 1533-position model. The record is from RNAcentral.